This 27-nucleotide small RNA is filed under the name Bombyx mori (domestic silkworm). RNAcentral describes it as "ovarian small RNA-11004". The record is from RNAcentral. Lineage: Eukaryota; Metazoa; Arthropoda; Insecta; Lepidoptera; Bombycidae.
ACACCAAGUAAAUACGGGAUGGGCUUC